CAGCAGCCGCGGUAAGACGAACCGUGCAAACGUUAUUCGGAAUCACUGGGCUAAAAGCGCACGUAGGCGGCGACAUAAGUUAGAGGUGAAAUCCCAUCGGCUCAACCGUGGAACUGCCUCUAAUACUGUGUUGCUCGAGGGAGAACGGGGCAUUCGGAACUUCCGGUGGAGCGGUGAAAUGUGUUGAUAUCGGAAGGAACGCCGGUGGCGAAAGCGGAAUGCUGGGUCUCUUCUGACGCUGAGGUGCGAAAGCUAGGGUAGCGAACGGGAUUAGAUACCCCUGUAGUCCCUGUCUCUUAUA
RNAcentral lists this ribosomal RNA (301 nucleotides) under uncultured bacterium. RNAcentral's name for it is "partial 16S ribosomal RNA". It matches the Rfam family "Bacterial small subunit ribosomal RNA", at positions 509 to 808 of the family's 1533-position model. The record is from RNAcentral.